AGAUGAGAGGCUGCGACAUCUGUCACCCCAUUGAUCGCCAGGGUUAAUUCGGCUGAUCUGUCUGGCUGGGCGUGUGUCUCCUUCCUCCCUCACCACUCCAUGUGCGUCCCUCAUGAAGCUGUGCACUGGGUCGAAGAGGGUGACCUUCCCGGAUAGAGGAGAACCAUUCUUCUUGGUCAAGGGUAUGCAAAUAGCUAUGGUCCCCUGCCAGAGCCUCCAAGCAAACUCUCAAGCUACAAUGACAGAGGUAAGGAGUUGCUACAGAGACCAUACGCCAUAGGUAUGGACCACAAAACCUAAAAUAUUUACUGUCUGACCUUUUAC
RNAcentral lists this small nuclear RNA (324 nucleotides) under Camelus bactrianus (Bactrian camel). Its description in RNAcentral is "7SK RNA". It matches the Rfam family "7SK RNA". From Rfam's summary of the family: 7SK was discovered as an abundant small nuclear RNA in the mid-70s but a possible function has only recently been suggested. Two independent studies have found that 7SK RNA binds the CDK9/cyclin T complex (known as elongation factor P-TEFb). RNAcentral also lists the same sequence under 1 other name. Lineage: Eukaryota; Metazoa; Chordata; Mammalia; Artiodactyla; Camelidae. The record is from Rfam by way of RNAcentral.